GAUAAUAUAUCUUUGCGAAGUUUGCAAUUUUCAGUCAUUUUAGAUUAUAAACGGGAAAUGGUUACCACUUCUGUGCGUAUAAUUUAAAUACAAAAUGACUGAAAAUUGCAAACUUCGCAAGGAUAUAUUAUCCGAAUUUU
Molecule: non-coding RNA, 140 nt
Organism: Paramuricea clavata
Lineage: Eukaryota; Metazoa; Cnidaria; Anthozoa; Malacalcyonacea; Plexauridae
Source: the annotation of a GenBank genome assembly